Molecule: ribosomal RNA, 433 nt
Filed under: uncultured bacterium
Lineage: Bacteria
Description: partial 16S ribosomal RNA
Rfam family: Bacterial small subunit ribosomal RNA
Source: RNAcentral
AACGAACGCUGGCGGCAGGCCUAACACAUGCAAGUCGAGCGAGGACUUCGAUCCUAGCGGCGGACGGGUGAGAAACGCGUGGGAACGUGCCCUUUGCUUCGGAAUAGCCCUGGGAAACUGGGAGUAAUACCGGAUGAGCCCUUUGGGGGAAAGAUUUAUCGGCGAAGGAUCGGCCCGCGUUGGAUUAGGUAGUUGGUGGGGUAAUGGCCUACCAAGCCGACGAUCCAUAGCUGGUUUGAGAGGAUGAUCAGCCACACUGGGACUGAGACACGGCCCAGACUCCUACGGGAGGCAGCAGUGGGGAAUCUUAGACAAUGGGGGAAACCCUGAUCUAGCCAUGCCGCGUGAGCGAUGAAGGCCUUAGGGUUGUAAAGCUCUUUCAGCUGGGAAGAUAAUGACGGUACCAGCAGAAGAAGCCCCGGCUAACUCCGUG